GACGAACGCUGGCGGCGUGCUUAACACAUGCAAGUCGAGCGGAAAGGCCCUGCUUUUGUGGGGUGCUCGAGUGGCGAACGGGUGAGUAACACGUGAGUAACCUGCCCUUGACUUUGGGAUAACUUCAGGAAACUGGGGCUAAUACCGGAUAGGAGCUCCUGCUGCAUGGUGGGGGUUGGAAAGUUUCGGCGGUUGGGGAUGGACUCGCGGCUUGUCAGCUUGUUGGUGGGGUAGUGGCUUACCAAGGCUUUGACGGGUAGCCGGCCUGAGAGGGUGACCGGCCACAUUGGGACUGAGAUACGGCCCAGACUCCUACGGGAGGCAGCAGUGGGGAAUAUUGCACAAUGGGCGGAAGCCUGAUGCAGCAACGCCGCGUGCGGGAUGACGGCCUUCGGGUUGUAAACCGCUUUCGCCUGUGACGAAGCGUGAGUGACGGUAAUGGGUAAAGAAGCACCGGCUAACUACGUG
RNAcentral lists this ribosomal RNA (468 nucleotides) under uncultured bacterium. RNAcentral describes it as "partial 16S ribosomal RNA". It matches the Rfam family "Bacterial small subunit ribosomal RNA", at positions 28 to 507 of the family's 1533-position model. The record is from RNAcentral.